CUUUCUCUCGCUUUCUUUGUCUCUCUUUCUCUCUGCCUUUAACGUUUAUCUUGUCUUAUAAUAGCUAUCUUUUUCCACACACCACCAACCACCCCUCCACUUUCAUUCACUCACUCACUCACUACUGAGUGGCAUCCCUCACCACAACUGAUUAUAAGUAGAUAACUUUGUAAAGAGCAAUGAAAUUAUUGGAGCAGUUGUCUCAAUCAACAACUUUGUCAUUAAGUUCAAUUAGUUUUAGCACCUCUCACUGAGACCGAUCCUGCUACUGAUGUACAGGUUUACCGUUGAGCAGCUUUCCAUGAUGAUACCGUUAUGACUGUCCUUAGAGAUUUACCAAAAAUACAGUGGAAUUAAAAGAAAUAAAGAAAAUCAAGAUCAAA
This is a long non-coding RNA of Octopus bimaculoides (California two-spot octopus), 383 nucleotides long. RefSeq lists it as uncharacterized. Lineage: Eukaryota; Metazoa; Mollusca; Cephalopoda; Octopoda; Octopodidae. The record is from RefSeq and is a predicted model, not a curated record.